AGGUUAUCUCUGGGCUGGCCAUAGGAAAGACCAAGUGAUUAGGGGCUUGGAACUUUCUCUCCAUUGACCACCAGAAAGGGGAGGGAGAGGCCCAGAGAUUAAGCUCUGUAACAAACAACUAGAUUUGGUGAGCUUUCUGGUGGGUGAACACAUGGAAGUGUCAGGAGGGGGCACACCCAGAGGGCAUAGAAGCCCCCAACCCCUCUUUCCAUACCUUGUCCUGUGCGUCUCUUCU
RNAcentral lists this long non-coding RNA (235 nucleotides) under Homo sapiens (human). RNAcentral's name for it is "non-protein coding lnc-CHN1-2:1". Lineage: Eukaryota; Metazoa; Chordata; Mammalia; Primates; Hominidae. The record is from RNAcentral.